RNAcentral lists this non-coding RNA (87 nucleotides) under Schistosoma haematobium. RNAcentral's name for it is "Eukaryotic large subunit ribosomal RNA". It matches the Rfam family "Eukaryotic large subunit ribosomal RNA", at positions 3022 to 3108 of the family's 3401-position model. The record is from Rfam by way of RNAcentral. Lineage: Eukaryota; Metazoa; Platyhelminthes; Trematoda; Strigeidida; Schistosomatidae.
AUCCUGUUUAGUACGAGAGGAACCGCAGGUUCAGAUAAUUGGUAUAUGUGCCUGGUCGAAAGGCCAAUGGUGCGAAGCUACCAUCUG